Molecule: ribosomal RNA, 253 nt
Filed under: uncultured bacterium
Lineage: Bacteria
Description: partial 16S ribosomal RNA
Rfam family: Bacterial small subunit ribosomal RNA
Source: RNAcentral
UACGAAGGGGGCGAGCGUUGUUCGGAUUUACUGGGCGUAAAGGGCGCGUAGGCGGCCCACCAAGUCAGGCGUGAAAGCCCCGGGCUCAACCUGGGAACGGCGCUUGGGACUGAUGGGCUGGAGUUCGGGAGAGGAGAGUGGAAUUCCCAGUGUAGAGGUGAAAUUCGUAGAUAUUGGGAAGAACACCGGUGGCGAAAGCGGCGCACUGGACCACAACUGACGCUGAGGCGCGAAAGCUAGGGGAGCGAACGGG